This 776-nucleotide ribosomal RNA is filed under the name uncultured Neocallimastigales. RNAcentral describes it as "partial large subunit ribosomal RNA". It matches the Rfam family "Eukaryotic large subunit ribosomal RNA", at positions 20 to 616 of the family's 3401-position model. Lineage: Eukaryota; Fungi; Neocallimastigomycota; Neocallimastigomycetes; Neocallimastigales. The record is from RNAcentral.
UACUAGAGUAGCACUCGCAUAUCAAUAAGCGGAGGAAAAGAAACUAACAAGGAUUCCCCUAGUAACGGCGAGUGAAGCGGGAAGAGCUCAAAUUUGAAAUCUUAAAGGGUUUCCCUUUACGAAUUGUAGUUUAAAGAAGUGUUUUCUGUUGAGGUUUUGGUAAAAGUUCUUUGGAAUAGGACAUCAUAGAGGGUGAGAAUCCCGUAUUUGACCUUUACUUUCAACUUUGUGAUACACUUUCAAAGAGUCGGAUUGUUUGGGAAUGCAGUCCAAAAUGGGUGGUAAAUUUCAUCUAAAGCUAAAUAUUGGCGAGAGACCGAUAGCGAACAAGUACCGUGAGGGAAAGAUGAAAAGAACUUUGAAAAGAGAGUUAAACAGUACGUGAAAUUGUCAAAAGGGAAGCGUUUGACACCAGUGUUGUUUUUCUGAAAAUCAAUUAAAGAACUGUUUAUGCUAAGCUUGUUUAGACUUUAUCAGCUAAUCUGUUUAGUUUUAGGCUUUUCUUUAAUGCACUUUUCAGUUAACAAGUCAACAUCAAUUUCUUUUGCUGUAAAAAAGCUUGAGGAAGGUGGCUUGAGAUUCGUCUUAAGUGUUUAUAGCCUCUUGCCUAUGCAGUCGGAGAGAUUGAGGUCUGCAGCGUAGAUCCUUCGGGGCUAAAUGCAUUUGUGCUAAGUUAUAGCAUUUUAUAGACAACUUGUUGACUAUGAUUUGUCUUGUAGCUUACUCGCUUAUGUUAUUUUACCUACGCUUAGGAUGUUGAGCGCAUGUCUCUCUCU